CAGACUAAAUAAAAUUUCAUUUUGAUUUGGCCUCCCGCUGAGAAUGGGACUGCUUUGUUUCAGCCGACAGAACCAGCAAGCCAGAAAGGUGUUGAAUACACAAAUACUGACUUAAUGGACAAUUAUGACUUUAGGACUCCAGGGCAACUACUGAGGGAUAAUAUUACCAGGGUCAUUGUGGUAGAGGAAAUAUUUUUAUAUGGGCGUCAGGAAACGGUGGUCUGGCUAGUGACUGCAGUGGUGUGGAUGGUUACAUGA
This 258-nucleotide long non-coding RNA is filed under the name Anas platyrhynchos platyrhynchos (common mallard). Its description in RNAcentral is "lncRNA (ENSAPLG00000028143.1)". The record is from RNAcentral. Lineage: Eukaryota; Metazoa; Chordata; Aves; Anseriformes; Anatidae.